This 3579-nucleotide long non-coding RNA is filed under the name Canis lupus familiaris (dog). RNAcentral describes it as "lncRNA (ENSCAFG00845007307.1)". The record is from RNAcentral. Lineage: Eukaryota; Metazoa; Chordata; Mammalia; Carnivora; Canidae.
CAUGUGGGAUUUCUGGCAUUUACUGAUAGCCUGCUAAUAAUUAGUUUCUUGUGCAAAUCAUUGGACAUUGUAAAAAAGAAAAGCCCAAAGUUGUCUUCUGGGAGUUUUACAGUCCUAAUGGGAAAGGCAGACAAUGAAAGAGUUAAUAAGGUAUUUCAGAACAUAGGUAUGGAAUAGAAGCUGUUGGAGCAUAAAGAUGUUAAUUAAUUUACUCUCUGAGAGUAGCGGUAAGAGGUACUUGGAAACCUACCUUAGAAAAAGUGGGUUUAGAAGGAGCCAUAGAUUUUAUUCUUGUCAUGGGUCCUGGGAAUCUUGUAUUAAUAUUAAUAAACACUUUUGCCCCUUAAGUGUUCUUUAAGCCCAUUUAAGUUGAGAACCAUCAUUAUAGGUGGCAGUUGAAGCAAUGAGAGUGUAUAUAGUAGUUUGAGGAGACUAUGUAGAGUGAGAAAGAAGAAGUCAGAAACCUAAAAAGCGGUAGUGUUUUAGCAAAGAGAGGGUAAGGCCUGAGAGGAGAGUUUCAUUGUUACUAUACAGGAUAUAUGAAUUAGGCAGUGGAAGGUCCCAGAAAAGAAAAGUAGGAAUUGGAAAGAAAAAUGCAUCAAAGGAGGGAUAGGUUGUGAUAGUGAAUUGGGUCAAAAAGGCCAUAGAUUUUAUUCCUGGAUUUCCUAGAAAUUAUCCCCAUGUUCUUUGCCAGAUAAAAAUCAUUACUUUGGGCUUUACAGUAAAUUGUGUCUUGUCUCUUUAAAUCAGGAUUACAUGUGUAUCAUGUACAAAUUGACAUGAGUAUUUUGGAUAUGGCCGCCAAAGUGGUUUAUAGAAAGUAGUCUGUAAUGCAGCAUUGUCAUUGGAUCAAGAUGCUGUUAGAUUAAUGUAACAGUUAUGAUUUAUAUAUAAUAAAUGAUUUCUUUUAGUGUCUAGGGAUAGGAUUGGAGGGACAUGACUUAGACUUUGUGUGAAUAAUCAAGAAAGUAACAAGUUAUUUUAAGCUGGAAGAAGAGGGUGAUAGAAAAGGAGUUACAAGUAUAUCCUUACUGUUUUGCUCAUGCUUCCACAUUUUUAAAAAUAAAUUUAUCUGACAGCACAAAUAGGGGGAGUGGGAGAAGGAGAAAGAGGCUCCCCACUGAACAGGGAGCCCAAUGUAGGCCUUGAUUCCAGGACCCUAGAAUCAUGACCUGAGUUGAAGGUAUAUAUUAGCCGACUGAACCACCCAGGAGCCCCUCAUGCUUCCACAUUUAUAAAUUUCUUAAAUAUAUAUAUAUAUAUAUAUAUAAUUUUAAAAGAUUUUAUUUAUUUAUUCAUGGGAGACAGAGAGAGAGAAGAGAGGCAGAGACACAGGCAGAGGGAGAUGCAGGCUCCAUGCAGGAGCCCGAUGUGGGACUUGAUCCCGGAAGCCAGGGAUCAUGCCCUGAGCUGAAGGCAGAUGCUCAACCACUGAGCCACCCAGACGUCAUUUAAUUUUAUAAUUUUUUAAAAAACCAGUAUGUUUAAGUUAUAAAUACAUACAAUCACAAACUUUGAAUGAAAAGUCUCAGAAUUCUGAUCAAGAUUACAGUAUAUAGGAAGAAAGUGUUAUUCUUUACCCUGAGAUUAACAGUAAAUAAAAAUCACAGCAUUAACCUUUUAAAGAUAAUGUUUAGGCAACAGUAGUUUCAGGGUGCCUGGAUGGCUUAGUUGAUUAAGUGUUGGACUCUUGAUUUCGGGCCCAUGUUAUGAUCUCAGGGUUGUAAAAUGGGUUCCCAUAUUGGGCUCCGCCCUGGAGGCUGCUUAAGAUUCUCUAUCCCUCUCCCUUUGCCCCUCCCCCCACCAUGUGUACAUACACUCAAUCUUUAAAAACAAAACAGAUUAAUUUCUAAAAGAAAAAUUAAACAUAGGUAAGCACAGGAGCAAAAGACUUACAACAUAUUCUAUAUCUCUAUAUAGGAAGGAAGUUAAUUCCUAAAUUUUGGAGUUGACUGGUUGUUGAAAGUCAUAGCAGUCCACCUUCUAAAGAGCUUCUUUUAAAAAAAGGUUUAUUUAUUUAUUUGAGAGAGAGAGAGUGUGUGCUUGGGGUAGGGGCUGGAGGGGCAGAGGAAGAAAAUCUCAAGCACACUCCCGGCUGAGUGUGGAGCCCUGUAUGGGUCUCAACUUCACAACCCAGAGACCUGACCUCAGCCGAAAUCAAGGGUGUGACACUCAACUGACUGAGCCAUCCAGGCCCCCCAAGAGUGCCUUUUAAAAUUCAUUUCUUAGAAUCUUAUCUGGGAUAAUUUUUAGAUACAAUUUGGCAUAACCAAGAAGUCCUUGAUUAUUGAGAAAUUAAGGUGAAAAAUCAUUGCCAUUCACCAUUGCUCAUUACAUAUUUUAUGAUACUGACUUUUGCUCCUUUAUUUUCAUUCUAUGACUGGAGCUUUAUUGAAGAGUUCAACUUAUUGAACAAAUAAGUUGAAAAGAAAACUUCAUUUUAUUAUUUUUCAAAUCUAUAUAGUUGGAGUGAUUCCCUUUCUAUUUAUAAGGCUUCAAUUAUAUACAUUGUUUUGUAUCCAAAAACUAACAUAUACUUGUGAUUGUUCAUGGAAAGGUAAGGAGGAGAUUAAAGAAAUUGAACUUUUUAGCUGGAAGGUAAUGAUAAAUAGAGCAAGUUUCUGGAGGAAGUGUAGGGGUAGACAAAGAAAGACUGGUGGUAUUAAUCUUUAAAAUAAUAGGGAUUACUUUUUUGCUUCAGAGAUGAAAGGGGGAAAAGGAACAAAACCUUUGGGUUUGAGAUGUUGAAAAUUGACAAGACCCCGGCUCUGAAAGCUUCAGUUCUCUCAAUAAGGAGAACUAUUCAUUUAACAGUAUAAAUUUUAGUUGUUUACUAAACAUUUUAUGUAGGACAAUUUAGUUUUGAUACCUCUUUUCUUUUGGGUCACAGUGGAAAAUGUUCUUGAUCGAUAUAUUUUUUUUUCAGCAGGAAAGAUAAUUUUGCUACUUGUAUCUUAAAAAUUUUGCAUUGAGGAACAUGUUCCAUAGUGAAAGUCAUUGAAAGCAAAGUAUGUAAACUCAGAGCAGUUACUGACCUUUUGAUAAUCCCUAAGCCAGAAUUUGAUUCAGAGUGUUACAGCAAUAAACAUUGAAAUGGCAGAAAGACUAGAAGGUAGUAUGAGUGGUCAAAGUCCAACUGACAUUUAAUAUAAAGUAGAUAGGAUGUAAUUUAGGGUGGUGGUGGGAGAUGCUUAGAUUGCAUUGGUUUACCAGAUUGGCAUACUUGUUCUGUUCAAGAUACCAUUUUCUUCCCUUUUCCACCAACUCUUAUACUUUUUCCUUCCUUCUAUUUUUAAAGUGGUAGGCAUGCUCUCCAAUUUCUGACUUUUCGUGAUUUGAUUCUUCAGGAUACAUUUGUUUCAGAGCAUCAUAAAAAGUAUGUUGAAAUUCCUAAUGGACUAAGUGUCUACUGAUAGAUGAAUGGGUAAAGAAGAUAUGGUAUUUUUUACAACAGAAUAUUAGCUCUAGAUAAGAAUGCAGUCUUUCCAUUUGCAACAACAUGGCUGGAUCUAGAGGGUAUAAUGCUAAGUGAAAUAAGUUAGAGAAAGACAAAUACUGUAUGAUUUCAUUCAUAUAUAG